GUUUUUUUCGGUUUUCUUGCUGAGAGUUCGUUUUCGCCAUUUCCAGUUUAUGCAAUUGAGUGUCAUUCACUCUAUCUUGGUAGUCCUCCUGCAUGGACUGAACCGCUUUUUUUAUGUUGGCCCCAUUGUCCGUUAUUAUGCAGCAUACUUUUCCUUUUAAAUUGAAAUUUUUUAUUUCAUUUUCAAUGGAAUUCGAAAUAGCUUCGAAAGUGUGACUACCUAGCAAAAGUAGAGUAAGGCAAAACUUUCUGUUAAAACCAGCUAUUGAACUACAUACCAGUAAUUCUUUUGCAACAUAUAGCCACGGUCUACCAGGAGAGGUAGACAAAUGCCCUAUCCCUUUCAUUAGCCAGAAUAAUGGAGGGACCUUGAAGGUUCCCUUAAAUUCCGCUUAGAACGCGAGCGAUAGGGAGACACAGAUUUGCACUGUGUUGUGUGUGACGCUUGUUGUCAGUGAAUGGCUCCCUUUUUCUGAUUUCAAUUUUUAGUUUAUUUGACUAAAUUAAUUUACGUUUAUCGUGGUGAUCAAAAUGGUUAAAAAGUGCUUUGUGGCCGCUGCUCUGAGGGGUAUUACUCAAAAAAGGUGAAAGUAACUCAAUUUCGAACUCCAAGAGACGAAAAACAAUUCAUUCUCUGGCAGAAAGCUAUUCCAAGAUCUGACAGAAAGUUAACAAAAAGGAUUGUGUAUGUGCAAACCACUUUGAAGAGAAAUAUUUAAUUAAAGUGAAAACCAUUCUCGAUCAAGUAUUUCCUCUGAAAAUUGAAUCUAUGCCUCCCUGACGCUCGCGCUCCAAGCGGAAUUUAAUGGAACCUUCAAGGUCACAUGUCUAGUCUGCUUACAUGGUGUUUGUCUACAUCUUCUGGUAGACCGUGAUAUAGCUUCAGAAUUUCUUGUUAGAGUUGUUUCUUCUAGCCAAAGAGCCGUGAUGCCGAUCCACGACCGAUGUGAUGUUGACCACAUAUCGGCCCCACAUAACAAAAUGCAGUCCGUCGGAUGUCCGACAGAUGUCGGGGUCGGAUGUUGAGUACAUCUUUUUUAUAUCCGCCGGACAGCCCGACAUCCGAUUUGGAUGUUCUAUGGAUGUAAUUUUAUUGUUUUUGACCGCCCUCAACAGCGCCGUCGGGCAUUCCAAAGAUAUCCGAACGGGCUUUAAUUUGGCUAUAAAUAUGACAUGUAUUGGUAAUGUAUGACAACAAUUAAAAGAAUGUCUGUGAAUUUGUGUACAGCAACAAUAAAAACAGAUUAAAUUCUUUCCAAAUUUAGUCCUUAUCAGUAAAAAGAUAUUCAAGUUUUUCUAAGAGCCGUAGUGCCAUAAGAAUGCACUAAAAAAACGGGGGUGUACCUAAUCGUUUGGUGGGUACCGUAGGCCUACAAUGACACAAGAUCGAAUGCCGAGCGUCAUUUCUGUAAAAAUUAAUCACCGAAAUUUUAUUUUCGAUUAUCGAGGACUUUCGAUAAUCGCCCGAAAAAUAAUCGAACGGCAAGUCUGAAUACGAACCUUUUUCACAUAUAAACUAUGACAACAGUGGAAAAACUUGGUUUUCGAAAUAAAUAACAUGAAAAUUA
This is a long non-coding RNA of Daphnia magna, 1567 nucleotides long. RefSeq lists it as uncharacterized. The record is from RefSeq and is a predicted model, not a curated record. Lineage: Eukaryota; Metazoa; Arthropoda; Branchiopoda; Diplostraca; Daphniidae. The transcript has 2 exons.